UGAUACUUUUGUUUUGCCACUAGGUGAUGA
RNAcentral lists this non-coding RNA (30 nucleotides) under Rattus norvegicus (Norway rat). The record is from RNAcentral. Lineage: Eukaryota; Metazoa; Chordata; Mammalia; Rodentia; Muridae.